AACGAACGCUGGCGGCAUGCCUAACACAUGCAAGUCGAACGAGACCUUCGGGUCUAGUGGCGCACGGGUGCGUAACGCGUGGGAACCUGCCCUUAGGUUCGGAAUAACUCCCCGAAAGGGGUGCUAAUACCGGAUAAUGUCUUCGGACCAAAGAUUUAUCGCCUUUGGAUGGGCCCGCGCUGGAUUAGCUAGUUGGUAGGGUAAAAGCCUACCAAGGCGACGAUCCAUAGCUGGUCUGAGAGGAUGAUCAGCCACACUGGGACUGAGACACGGCCCAGACUCCUACGGGAGGCAGCAGUGGGGAAUAUUGGACAAUGGGCGAAAGCCUGAUCCAGCAAUGCCGCGUGAGUGAUGAAGGCCUUAGGGUUGUAAAGCUCUUUUACCCGGGAUGAUAAUGACAGCACCGGGAGAAUAAGCUCCGGCUAACUCCGUG
Molecule: ribosomal RNA, 433 nt
Filed under: uncultured bacterium
Lineage: Bacteria
Description: partial 16S ribosomal RNA
Rfam family: Bacterial small subunit ribosomal RNA
Source: RNAcentral